This 784-nucleotide ribosomal RNA is filed under the name Clostridioides difficile. RNAcentral describes it as "bacterial LSU rRNA". It matches the Rfam family "Bacterial large subunit ribosomal RNA", at positions 1 to 788 of the family's 2925-position model. Lineage: Bacteria; Bacillati; Bacillota; Clostridia; Peptostreptococcales; Peptostreptococcaceae. The record is from RNAcentral.
UGGUCAAGUUAUUAAGGGUGCAGGGCGGAUGCCUUGGCACUAGGAGCCGAUGAAGGACGUGAUAAGCUGCGAUAAGCUUCGGGGAGUUGCACGUAAACUUUGAUCCGAAGAUUUCCGAAUGAGGAAACUCACUUAGAGUAAUGUCUAAGUAUCAUUAAGUGAAUACAUAGCUUAAUGAGGGGAACUCAGGGAACUGAAACAUCUAAGUACCUGAAGGAAGAUAAAGAAAUUCGAUUCCGUAAGUAGCGGCGAGCGAACGCGGAUUAGCCCAAACCAAUAAAGUUUUCUUUAUUGGGGUUGCGGACAUAUCAUAACGAAGAGGUAUCGUAAUUGAAGAGGUUUGGAAAGACCCACCACAGAAGGUAAUAGUCCUGUAUGUUAAACGAGAAGACUUUAGAUAUGAUCCAGAGUACCACGGGACACGUGAAACCCUGUGGGAAGCAGGAGGGACCACCCUCCAAGGCUAAAUACUACCUAGUGACCGAUAGCGUAUAGUACCGUGAGGGAAAGGUGAAAAGAACCCCGGGAGGGGAGUGAAAUAGAACCUGAAACCCUGCACUUACAAGCUGUGGAAGCACAUUUCUUGUGUGACCGCGUACUUUUUGUAGAACGGGCCAACGAGUUACGUUAAGUAGCAAGGUUAAGCACUUAAGGUGCGGAGCCGUAGCGAAAGCGAGUUUUAACUGAGCGUUCAGUUACUUGACGUAGACCCGAAACCGGGCGACCUACCCAUGAGCAGGAUGAAGCGAAAGUAAAAUUUCGUGGAGGUCCGAACCCACGAGCG